UCAGUCGACUCCUACGGGGAGGCAGCAGUGGGGAAUUUUGGACAAUGGGGGGCAACCCUGAUCCAGCAAUGCCGCGUGAGUGAAGAAGGACCCUCGGGUUGUUAAAGCUCUUUUGUCAGGGAAGAAACGGUGAUCUCUAAUAUAGAUUGCUAAUGACGGUACCUGAAGAUAAGCACCGGCUAACUACGUGCCAGCAGCCGCGGUAAUACGUAGGGUGCAAGCGUUAAUCGGAAUUACUGGGCGUAAAGCGUGCGCAGGCGGUUUUGUAAGUCUGAUGUGAAAUACCCCGGGCUCAACCUGGGAACUGCAUUGGAGACUGCAAGGCUAGAGUGUGUCAGAGGGGGGUAGGAAUUCCACGUGUAGCAGUGAAAUGCGUAGAGAUGUGGAGGAAUACCGAUGGCGAAGGCAGCCCCCUCGGGAUAACACUGACGCUCAUGCACGAAAGCGUGGGGAGCAAACAGGAUUAGAUACCCUGGUAG
This 479-nucleotide ribosomal RNA is filed under the name uncultured bacterium. Its description in RNAcentral is "bacterial SSU rRNA". It matches the Rfam family "Bacterial small subunit ribosomal RNA", at positions 328 to 793 of the family's 1533-position model. The record is from RNAcentral.